GAUGAACGCUGGCGGCGUGCUUAAUACAUGCAAGUCGAGCGAACGGACGAGAAGCUUGCUUCUUUGAUGUUAGCGGCGGACGGGUGAGUAACACGUGGAUAACCUACCUAUAAGACUGGGAUAACUUCGGGAAACCGGAGCUAAUACCGGAUAAUAUUUUGAACCGCAUGGUUCAAAAGUGAAAGACGGUCUUGCUGUCACUUAUAGAUGGAUCCGCGCUGCAUUAGCUAGUUGGUAAGGUAACGGCUUACCAAGGCAACGAUGCAUAGCCGACCUGAGAGGGUGAUCGGCCACACUGGAACUGAGACACGGUCCAGACUCCUACGGGAGGCAGCAGUAGGGAAUCGUCCGCAAUGGGCGAAAGACUGACGGAGCAACGCCGCGUGAGUGAUGAAGGUCUUCGGAUCGUAAAACUCUGUUAUUAGGGAAGAACAUAUGUGUAAGUAACUGUGCACAUCUUGACGGUACCUAAUCAGAAAGCCACGGCUAACUACGUG
This 497-nucleotide ribosomal RNA is filed under the name uncultured bacterium. Its description in RNAcentral is "partial 16S ribosomal RNA". It matches the Rfam family "Bacterial small subunit ribosomal RNA", at positions 28 to 507 of the family's 1533-position model. The record is from RNAcentral.